Macaca fascicularis (crab-eating macaque) is the source of this 2279-nucleotide long non-coding RNA. Lineage: Eukaryota; Metazoa; Chordata; Mammalia; Primates; Cercopithecidae. The record is from Ensembl.
CAGGUGGAAGCCAGCCAGCAAACACCUACAGCUAUUCUUAGUGAAAUUCCUCAGAGGAAUCCAGGGGGCUCCCAGUUCCCAACACUCUUCAAGAUUACCAUUUUUCACAAUUUGGGGAACAUUUUACAUAUUCAGUCUUUCUCAAUAACUUUUAUUUAUUUUCUUGAGAAAGGGUCUUACUGUGUUGCCCAGGCUGGAGUGCAGUGGUGUGAUCACAGCUCAUUGCAGUCUCAGCUUCUGAGGCUCAAGCCAUCCUCCCAUCUCAGCCUUCCGAGUAGCUGGGACCACAGGUGUGCACCACUAUGCCUUGCUAAUUUUUUUAUUUUUUUGUAGAGACGGGGGUCUCGCUAUGUUGCCCAGGCUGGUUUCAAACUCCUGGGCUCAAGGGAUCCUACCACUUUGACCCCAGAAGUGCUGGGAUUACAGGCAUGAGCCACUGCACCCGCCACUUUUCUAAUUUAUAGACAUAAAAGUAAUUGACUCCCACAGCACAGUAACAGGCAAUGCUGCUUGGCAUGCCACAAACAUCAGAAAGCUUGUGACACUCCUAGGAUUGUAUCCAUUCUUUCAUUACAUGGAAACAUUGUUCUGUUAUGUGAAAUGGGUAAGGCACCAAGUGAGACUUUGAAAUACAAUUUUUAGGUGAAUGUGAUAUUUAUUGUAGUAGGACUUGACCUCUGUGCUUUAAAGAAAUCACUAACCAAAAUUUCAAAGUUUCAUUUUAAAUGCGUUUAGCUAGAAAUCUAUGUAUUUAUCCCUUUCCCAUUUUGCAUUCUUCUCCCACUAUUUUUAAAAUGUCAUUUACAGUAGAAACCAUCCUUCUUUCUCCCAACAGUAUCCUUUGCCAAGACCAUGAAAACAGUCAGGAGCAUGUUGGUGGUCAGGGUUUCAGAACACAUGUGAUGUCACUGAGAAUGUUUGUUCACAGUCAAUAAUUGUCUCUGUGGAUGUGAUCAUUUUGGAGAUAUACUUCUGGUCAGAAGUCAGGUGAGAUAAUCUUGCAAUACUCCAAAUGCAGAUACUCUAGCCACCUGCAAGGUUCCAGGAAAGGACAAUGUCCUGCGAGAAAAUCAGGAGGCCUCCACUUCCUGGGCCACUUGAGAAGUUCCUGGGCAUGUCACUACAUGUUGGCUGACUCAGCCAUUUCUCAUGCUGUUUUGUUUCUUGCGGUGGCCACUUAACCCCAGAGAAUGAAGGGAGGAUCCACAGUGAAAGUGCCUGAGUUUCUCUACGAGACGAGAUGGUGUCGAAACCAAACAUCUUUUCCUUUGCUGUAGGGGAACAUUUUAGGGUUUGUUUUGCACAGCUGGUUUCCAGACUAGAAGAUUAACAAGUGUGGAUCCACCCCUAAGAAUCAGUGGCUGUCUUUUAAGGUGAGGAGUGUGGGCUUAACUGAGGUCCUUUGAGGGAGCUAUAAAGGAGAAACAGCCUGGGACAUCCCAGUUUUCCUAUUCCUCCACUGUUAAUAUUCUCACCUAAAAUAAUUCAUGAGUUUAAAUGGUAAAUAUAUGCUUUAAGCUCUACCUUUAAACUCGUAUGUUAUUCAGGCAUCUCUUAUUAAGAUACUGGGUCUCUGGAUACCCAGGGAAAUGUUGGCUUUUUAUUCUUACAUGGUUCCAAAUUUACUUGUCUUCAGUUUAAUUGUCCAUGGUAGUGCUGGCUUCAUUGUUAGGUUGGAGUUAUUAUUUUCCUUUUGGAACAACAUGAGUUUUAUUCACCUUACUGUUAGAAAAAGGAAGAACUACAGCCAGAAAUAACUUCAUUUCCUAACAAGGUAUAAAAAGUGGUCAGGUGAAUGUGAAUGGGCUCUUCUACACAGGAAUAGAUUAUUGGAAUAAAGUAUUUCCUGCUGCCUUAACUCUUCGGGAUGCAUAGGAUAAAAUGAUAAAGACCAUUUUAAUAUCAGAAAGGGUUGUCUUAUUAAUUUCUAAAUAAAACUUCACAUUUCUUAAUGGGGAGCUCAUUCAGAAACUAAAUCAUGGUUUCUCAAAGUGUGGUCAGGAUACGAUCUGCAUCAGAAUCCUUGGAAUGCUUGUUAAAAAUUCCAAUUGCUAUGACAUAACCAAGUCUGCUGGAAUCUGCAUUUCGGCAAGUUUCCCAUGUUAUUCUGAUGUAUUUUAACAUUUGAGAACCACUGCCAAUCAUCUGUACAGUUCCUACUGUUAAUGAUCACAAUAAGACUAACAUGAAUUUAAUAAUCUGAAUAAUUUUUAAAAUUUAAAUAAAAAACUGAGAAAUUGAAGUUAAUUUAAAAAUAAAAAUAACCUUAGAAGUUGAAA